AAGUCGUAACAAGGUUUCCGUAGGUGAACCUGCGGAAGGAUCAUUAUCGAACACACAAAAGGACUGUCGCUGGCUUCGGCAUGUGCACGUCUUUUUAUCACACCCACACCCGUGCACCUUCUGUAGGCCCUCGCAAGAGGAUCUAUGUUUUCCAUCCACACCGAUUGCAUGUCCAUAGAAUGUCAUAAUGAAAUACAACUUUCAGCAACGGAUCUCUUGGCUCUC
This 225-nucleotide unclassified non-coding RNA is filed under the name fungal sp. Its description in RNAcentral is "partial internal transcribed spacer region". The stretch from base 1 to 46 matches the Rfam family "Eukaryotic small subunit ribosomal RNA", at positions 1786 to 1831 of the family's 1831-position model. Lineage: Eukaryota; Fungi. The record is from RNAcentral.